GGCAAAGAUCGCAUUGGAAUUUAUUCUAAAUUUCACCUUUAUAUUAAAAACGUAUUGAAAUCUCAGCAGUUUGUAACCGAGUACGAAAACUUCGCCAGAAUCACUGAAACGGUCAUUGGCAAAUAUAUGAAACAAGUCACCGAUAUGAAAAACAUGAUCUUCAUGCCUGAUGAAGAACAACGAAAAAAAUUUCGAGAAGCUUGUGAUAGUUUAAUAACAAGCUUGAAAAUUCACGGAGAAAGCGCUCCUGAGUUUACAUCUAGAAUAACAGCCGCUGAAAAACAAG
Molecule: long non-coding RNA, 286 nt
Organism: Planococcus citri (citrus mealybug)
Lineage: Eukaryota; Metazoa; Arthropoda; Insecta; Hemiptera; Pseudococcidae
Exons: 3
Source: RefSeq, a predicted model, not a curated record